Potamilus streckersoni is the source of this 67-nucleotide non-coding RNA. NCBI's taxonomy places the organism in Eukaryota, Metazoa, Mollusca, Bivalvia, Unionida, Unionidae. The record is from the annotation of a GenBank genome assembly.
GGGGCCUAGUGGUUAGAGCGUCCACUUCGGAUUCGGGAGGUCGUGGGUUCGAACCCCGGCUGAGUCA